RNAcentral lists this ribosomal RNA (253 nucleotides) under uncultured bacterium. RNAcentral's name for it is "partial 16S ribosomal RNA". It matches the Rfam family "Bacterial small subunit ribosomal RNA", at positions 524 to 776 of the family's 1533-position model. The record is from RNAcentral.
UACGAAGGGUGCAAGCGUUAAUCGGAAUUACUGGGCGUAAAGGGUGCGUAGGCGGUUCGUUAAGUCUGUUGUGAAAUCCCCGGGCUCAACCUGGGAAUGGCAAUGGAUACUGGCGGGCUAGAGUGUGUCAGAGGAUGGUGGAAUUCCCGGUGUAGCGGUGAAAUGCGUGGAGAUCGGGAGGAACAUCAGUGGCGAAGGCGGCCAUCUGGGCAGUGGCUGACGCUGGGGCGCGACAGCGUGGGGAGCAAACAGG